CCCUUAGACGUUCUGGGCCGCACGCGCGCUACACUGACACAGGCAACGAGCUUUCCUUUACCGAAAGGUAUGGGUGAUCUUUUGAAACUGUGUCGUGCUGGGGAUAGAUCCUUGCAAUUUUUGAUCUUAAACGAGGAAUUCCUAGUAAGCGCGAGUCAUCAACUCGCGUUGAUUACGUCCCUGCCCUUUGUACACACCGCCCGUCGCUACUACCGAUUGAAUGGCUUAGUGAGGCCUCAGGAUCCGCGCUUAAUGUGUGGAGAAUUUGGACAAACUACGUCAUUUAGAGGAAGUAAAAGUCGUAACA
RNAcentral lists this ribosomal RNA (307 nucleotides) under uncultured eukaryote. RNAcentral describes it as "partial 18S ribosomal RNA". It matches the Rfam family "Eukaryotic small subunit ribosomal RNA", at positions 1470 to 1796 of the family's 1831-position model. The record is from RNAcentral.